Molecule: ribosomal RNA, 433 nt
Filed under: uncultured bacterium
Lineage: Bacteria
Description: bacterial SSU rRNA
Rfam family: Bacterial small subunit ribosomal RNA
Source: RNAcentral
UGAGGAAUAUUGGUCAAUGGCCGGGAGGCUGAACCAGCCAAGUCGCGUGAGGGAAGACGGUCCUAUGGAUUGUAAACCUCUUUUGUCGGGGAGCAAAAGGCGCCACGUGUGGUGCUCCGAGAGUACCCGAAGAAAAAGCAUCGGCUAACUCCGUGCCAGCAGCCGCGGUAAUACGGAGGAUGCGAGCGUUAUCCGGAUUUAUUGGGUUUAAAGGGUGCGUAGGCGGACUUUUAAGUCAGCGGUAAAAUUGAGAGGCUCAACCUCUUCCCGCCGUUGAAACUGGGAGUCUUGAGUGGGCGAGAAGUAUGCGGAAUGCGUGGUGUAGCGGUGAAAUGCAUAGAUAUCACGCAGAACUCCGAUUGCGAAGGCAGCAUACCGGCGCCCAACUGACGCUGAAGCACGAAAGCGUGGGUAUCGAACAGGAUUAGAUACC